AUAUAAUAUAUAUGUAGUAUCGGGGCCAAAAGGCCUAAGGUAUCGGCCGAACUGUAAACAAAGUACCGUUUAGCAUCAAUGUACCGUUGGGUUCUUUAAGUGGACAGUUUUCGUGAAAAGGCUGCGUAACCUUGACCACGGGGGUUUCGGGAUACCUGUUCCGAAGAACGGGAAAAGGUAGAGUGUGUAGAGGGUGUAGACGUGCAGAGCGUGUGGAGUGUGCGGAGUGGGCAGAGCUUGAAUUGGGAAGCAGAAAGCCGCAUGCGAGAAUAGAACGUAGAACAGCAUUGUAAUCAUUUCGUUGCUUCGAAUAUAUAUAUAUUAAAUCAAAACAUCAUUACUUGUCCUUUCUCUCUAAGACCCA
RNAcentral lists this unclassified non-coding RNA (364 nucleotides) under Bombus terrestris (buff-tailed bumblebee). RNAcentral's name for it is "misc RNA ENSBTSG00005030563.1". The record is from RNAcentral. Lineage: Eukaryota; Metazoa; Arthropoda; Insecta; Hymenoptera; Apidae.